AACCCAUGGUGAAAACACUUUCUUAUCAAAUCCUUAUAGCUCUUCCAAGCUUCAUAUAGUGAUUCAAAAUCAAAUUGCAUGAAAAAAGUGAUAUCAUUUCGCAUCUU
Small nucleolar RNA from Theobroma cacao (cacao), 107 nucleotides. It matches the Rfam family "Plant small nucleolar RNA R71". From Rfam's summary of the family: R71 is a member of the C/D box family of snoRNAs containing the C (UGAUGA) and D (CUGA) box motifs. Multiple nearly identical copies of this snoRNA have been identified in Arabidopsis, and it is thought to function as a 2'-O-ribose methylation guide for 18S ribosomal RNA. NCBI's taxonomy places the organism in Eukaryota, Viridiplantae, Streptophyta, Magnoliopsida, Malvales, Malvaceae. The record is from Rfam.